CUCAGUGACACCCGAGCUGAAGCCACCUCUUUCCCAGGGCUACUGUGUGUUUCAGGGCCCAAAGCAAGGUGACCACUUGAUUGAGGACUGGAAGUGAACCUGCAGAAUGGGAGGGGAGAAGACAACAGAACCUGCGGCCAGAGGUGGCCCGGCCACAUGGCAGGACAGACACACAGACUCGGGCGCAUGUCCGCCAGGUUGCGGGGGGAACACCGCGGGCGUCCUUUCCUGGCUCCUCUGCCUUUCCCAACGCUGAGACGUCAACCGCCAAAUUAUCUCCCGACCCCUAGGGCAGCCAGGCUGUCGCAGAGUUCAGGAGCUGGUGACGACAGCGCGUCCAGAUGCAGCGGAAGGGAAACGUGUCACCGCACGUCCAGCCUCCCCCGCCUCCAGAGCACCCUGGGGCUUCCCACGCCACUCCCAGGGGGUUCUCUCUGGCAGCCACUGUCCCCUGAGCAGGCUGGGUGCUGAGGGAGCAGCCUGCAGCCUGUGGUUGACAGCAGGUGGCGGGAAAUGCCCCGCCCCGGGGCCCCAGGAGUGGGAACUGGGGCUGUGCUCUCUGCUACCCCCUGGAGGUCCCCGCUGCCACUGCGUCCCAGGUGUCCACGGCCGGUCAGUGCCUGGCCCAAUGGCCCACUUGUUGGGGUCAUCCCCUUCCCACUCCCCUGCAUGUCCCCAAGCAAUGAAUUCGUGCCUACAGAUCUGCCUUCAGCCCAACGGAGCAAUGGAGACGACGGAUUCUGGGCUAUUUCAAAAUCUGUAGGCGCCAACUCCCUCCCCCUCCAUCUCUUCCUUCUUCAAAAAGUCACGGAGGGGCCGUGGGGUGACACUGAGCACGAACGAGGUCCCCUAGGAUCGGUCUUCCCCGGGCCUCAGUGUGUGAUUUUAAAAUGCCACAGAUGUCAAAUACCUGGACUCUCGCUGUCCAAACGAGGCCACGGAGCCCACAAGGCCACGGAGCCCUUGAAACGUGGCGGAUCUGAGUCACAACUUAAGUGUAAGGGACGCCACCCAGAAAGCGAGGCCCUGGAGAAAGCAAAACACUUCCUUGGCACUCUCCCUGCCCAUGCCCUGGGAGAGCGGGAACACCUGGGCUGAAGGAGGUACACCAUGAAGCCGACCCCCACCUCCUUCCCCCUGUUCUCCGCAGCCACCUGAGAUUUGGGCAGUAGCCUGUGACCCUAUCGCAUUCUACUGGACGGUCCACUGCUGCCCCUCUGAGCUCCGUGACCUUGGGCAAGACCUUGAACCCCUUCAUGGAGACGGUCUCCUCACUUAGGAAAAACCACAAGGAAUCAUCCGGCCACUCCUCCCUGCUAAUGUCCACUGUGUGCUCCGCUGCCUUGGCCUGACCGCCCCCGACCUCUCUGAACCUCCGUCUCUUCAUCUGGGAGGGAGGGCAGCAGCAGCCUCCGCGGCACCACCAGGGGCUGAUGCACAAGCCCGUGCUGGCCGUCACCUCUGCCCUUAUACCCAGAGGUGGGUGGACGCCCCAGAAACAGGAGACAGGGACACAUAAGGGAGCAGAAAAGAGACCCCAGCAGCCCCCGGCGCAGGAGUGCGAGUCCAUCUGAGCACGGCACGCCGAGAGACACACAAAGGCGCCGUGUUCGGGCUGCUGGACCCGCGCUGCCCCACAGAGCGAGCAUAAUGAAUUGACCUGACAGGACAUUAAGCCUCGCUUCUGCAAGGCCCUCAUUCCCCUCGCCGGCUUUGCUUGUGCCUUUUGUGGUGGAAAAUGCUUUCAUUCCAUGCUGACAGAAAUCACUCGACUCUCAUACCUGAGGCGACCAUUUAAGAAUGUGUCUCAAAGCAUUAUCAAGAGGGGAAAAAAAAAAAAAAACAAGUCACCCUUUUGAGGCCAGAACAAGGGAAAGAGAUUUAAUUGGGCUCAAAGAUUCGUUACCAGGUAGCAAUGAUGUGCGACUCAGCUGUGUGACCUCGGGGAAAUCGCUUGACCUCUCAGGUCUCAGUGUGUUCAUUUACAAAAUGGGGAAAUGACAUGUUCGAUGGGGCAUAAAAGACGGGGUGUAGGUUUUGUUAAAUUUCAUUGCCUCCAACUGACUCUGGAAAUAAAAGUUUUGUUUUAUUUGGAGACA
Molecule: non-coding RNA, 2099 nt
Organism: Ictidomys tridecemlineatus (thirteen-lined ground squirrel)
Lineage: Eukaryota; Metazoa; Chordata; Mammalia; Rodentia; Sciuridae
Source: RefSeq, a predicted model, not a curated record